Molecule: ribosomal RNA, 253 nt
Filed under: uncultured bacterium
Lineage: Bacteria
Description: partial 16S ribosomal RNA
Rfam family: Bacterial small subunit ribosomal RNA
Source: RNAcentral
UACGUAGGGGGCAAGCGUUGUCCGGAUUUAUUGGGCGUAAAGAGCGUGUAGGCGGCCAGGUAGGUCCGUUGUGAAAACUGGAGGCUUAACCUCCAGCUGUCGAUGGAAACCAUCUGGCUAGAGUCCGGAAGAGGAGAGUGGAAUUCCUGGUGUAGCGGUGAAAUGCGCAGAUAUCGGGAGGAACACCGAUGGCGAAGGCAGCACUCUGGGCCGGCACUGACGCUGAGGAGCGAAAGCGUGGGGAGCGAACAGG